This 253-nucleotide ribosomal RNA is filed under the name uncultured bacterium. RNAcentral's name for it is "partial 16S ribosomal RNA". It matches the Rfam family "Bacterial small subunit ribosomal RNA", at positions 524 to 776 of the family's 1533-position model. The record is from RNAcentral.
AACGAAGGUGGCAAGCGUUGUUCGGAAUUACUGGGCAUAAAGCGCACGUAGGUGGUCUCGUGUGUCGAUGGUGAAAUCCUGCAGCUCAACUGUAGAAUUGCCGUUGAAACUACGAGGCUAGAGGACAGGAGGGGAGAGUGGAAUUCCUAGUGUAGCGGUGAAAUGCGUAGAUAUUAGGAGGAACGCCGGUGGCGAAAGCGACUCUCUGGACUGUUUCUGACACUGAGGUGCGAAAGCUAGGGGAGCAAACAGG